GACGAACGCUGGCGGCGUGCCUAAUACAUGCAAGUCGAACGCAGUGGGGACGGGUGAGUAACAAGUGGGUAACCUCCCCUCAGAGGGGAUAACACUUGGAAAAAGGUGCUAAACCGAUACGGAGGGAUGGACCCGCGGUGCAUUAGCUAGUUGGUGGGGUAACGGCUCACCACGGCCCCGAGGCAUAGCCGACCUGAUCGGGUGAUCCGCCACACGUGGACUGAGACACGGCCCAGACUCCUACGGUAGGCAGCAGUAGGGAAUCUUCGGCAAUGGACGAAAGUCUGACCGAGCAACGCCGCGUGAGUGAAGAAGGUUUUCGGAUCGUAAAACUCUGUUGUUAGAGAAGCGGUAUCUAACCAGAAAUCCACGGCUAACUACGUGCCAGCAGCCGCGGUAAUAC
This 403-nucleotide ribosomal RNA is filed under the name uncultured bacterium. Its description in RNAcentral is "partial 16S ribosomal RNA". It matches the Rfam family "Bacterial small subunit ribosomal RNA", at positions 28 to 526 of the family's 1533-position model. The record is from RNAcentral.